GACGGGAUACCAGCCUGUGGUCAGUUUUUUCACUGGCUGACACUCUUGCUCGAUUGAGCCAAGUUAAAUUUAAUGGCUACGCAAAUACAGGAAAUUGUCAUUCACUGACUGGGAAUUAACUUGGGUUGCGAUGGGAACAGCGUGAAAAGGAUACUUCUCUGAUGCUAGUGACCUGAAAGGAAAAAGCUGGGUAAAUAGACAAUGGUCAGCUACUUUGAGGAGGCUUGGCUAAUACAGGAGGAGAAACAUUCGGGAUAUCAUGCAAACAGUGGGAGUCGGGCGACAGUGAGAGGGGACUGCUGGGAAGAUAAGCAGCAAGUAUAAUAACUUACCAUGAGUGCUUCGGGAUCUUCAUUUUUGGCGGCAGAGGAGGAAGAGACCAGGAGCGAGAUGACCCUUGGGAAAUACAGUUUGGGCAGAAUCAAAAUCCAAGACCUCACAAGAGGGUGUCUCCCGCCCUUCCACCUCAUCUAACCUAAGGAUAAAAGGUUGGACAAUUUAUUUGAUCCUGAAUAUCAUCGGAUUUUGAACAUGGAAGGAGUAAGCGCCAUUCACAGCGGGGAGAAGCCGUACACAUGUUCUGUGUGUGGAAGAGGCUUCAGCCAAUCAUCUGGCCUAUCAAGACACAAAUGCAGUCACACUGGAGAGAAACCAUGGAAAUGUGGGGAAUGUGGGAAGGAACACAGAUCCCCAUCAAAGCUGAAAACUCAUCGACACAGCCACAUAGGGGAGAGACCAUUCACCUGUUUCACUGAAAAUCUGAAACUGGGAUACAGGCACAAGAUGGCUUCUUGGUGCAAGUUAGCACAACAAAAUGGUUUCUAGCCUGGGAACUGUAAAUUCUGCGAGAGCUGCUCUUCCAGCCCAGGAACUGUAAAUUCUGCUACAGCUGCAUAAAUAAUACAGUAAUGAUAAGAUAAUGCAGUACUAACUGUUCUAACUGACCUUCGGUUGCAAAUGUUGUGGCACUGUGUGGCGAGAUAAAAAGUUACUUACGUGUUGUGACGUUAAGUUGUUUACCAGUUAACGUUAUUGGAUUAAGUAACUGUCAAUGAACCAAUAUCAUGUAUUGAUUGGUAACUGUUUGAAUACACUAUGCGAUCAUGCCAUGUACCCUGCUUUAAGAAACGUAUAAAAAUGUCUUUGUAUGAAGUUGUGUGUGCAGCUCCUCCGAGGAAUACGAAAGUGCUCAACUUCUGUGUUUUCCAGAUGAUCUGUACCCGGCCAAUUGAAAAAAUAAAGAGUAAAGUCUUA
Stegostoma tigrinum is the source of this 1254-nucleotide long non-coding RNA. RefSeq lists it as uncharacterized. Lineage: Eukaryota; Metazoa; Chordata; Chondrichthyes; Orectolobiformes; Stegostomatidae. The transcript has 3 exons. The record is from RefSeq and is a predicted model, not a curated record.